This is an RNA transcript of Athalia rosae (coleseed sawfly), 1322 nucleotides long. RefSeq lists it as uncharacterized. The transcript is spliced from 5 exons. The record is from RefSeq and is a predicted model, not a curated record. Lineage: Eukaryota; Metazoa; Arthropoda; Insecta; Hymenoptera; Athaliidae.
ACUUCAAUAAGAUAAUUUCAUGGGGUUUUUAAUAAUAGGUCUCACCAGUAGAAAUAAUUUUGAAAAGUAAAGAAAGAAGAUCAAUAGACGUCACCUUGAAUGUUGCUAACUAUGGUAUCAAGAAUUCCGAAAACGAAAUCCGUGGUUAUCUCAAGGGAUUUAUACGAGUGGCACCUAUGCACAAGUAUAAUCAAUGAGUUUAUUUAGCAUGAAUAUUAAAAGUUGUUUGAAUGUGGGCAUUCAUUAUAGUAUAAAGACAAAAUGCUAUUCAAUCUUCAGAUACAAAGCAGAUUGCUUUUCACGCAGUGACGGUGUCAUGUUUACACCUACUCAAAUACAGUUAGAGGCAACCAUUGUUCAACCAAAACUUUUCAACAAGAUUACUGAAGACGACAGAACUUUCCAAAUUUUGACCUCCAGCUCCCAAAAAGAAAUGAAAGAAAAUCGAAAGUAUGUGUUUUAUAACAACACUGGAGAGCCAAUGUUCAUUAAUGCUCAAUCAACUAACCCAUUUCAAGUGCUGACUUUGUGUACUUCCAAGACUACAAUCAAUCCAUUAGAAUCUGAUGGCAUAUGUGUUACUCCUGGACACAGUGUGGAGGUGAAUCUAAUUUGCGUUGUCGAUGCUGAUUGCAUUUAUCAAGCGAUGGAAUCCCAUAAAUGCAAAGAUACAGAUACGUCAUUCAUUGAUAUGGAAAAAAAUUUGCUCAUUCAACAUAUUGGGACUUGCAAUCAGGAAUAUAGGCAAGUCUGAUGAAGUUUUAGAAAUAUUUACAACUGUACCAAAUUAUGUAGAGAAAUGCGUCAUGGAAGGGUGUGGAAGUUGGGAUCAUGAGACGACUUAUGACAGAGGCGGAUAAAAGUUGAACAUAUAGAGAAACAAGCUAGAGAUGAUUCAUCUGGGCCAAAUCUGCAUACGUAUUUCAGUUGCUCGGCGUUUAAACCAACUACUUUAUAUCCAGAAGUACCAAUGUUUGGAAGACCAAGUGAGUACAACGUUUUUCUCACUGGUUCCAAUUCUAAACAUGGAAAUGACUUCAAUGCCCAAGAUACAAUACCCUCAUUCUCGCCAACUGUUACCGUACAAGUACUGUACACUAAAACUCCACCUGGCUUUAGUAGAUCGACAGCCUGUUGAAAGAUGUUCAUUUAUUAUGGAGCUUUGUGUAUUAUUAUCAAACUGAGCAACGAAUAUAUGUUUCAAGGUUUGAACAAUUUUGGUAAAUUGGUAUCAAAUUAAUGCAAGCGUAUAAAUAUAUAUUUUGGAGUAUCAUCAAUUUUGGCUUUGGUAUUGAAAGUUCAAUUUUUUUUUUUUUUUAAUU